RNAcentral lists this ribosomal RNA (385 nucleotides) under uncultured bacterium. RNAcentral's name for it is "bacterial SSU rRNA". It matches the Rfam family "Bacterial small subunit ribosomal RNA", at positions 29 to 442 of the family's 1533-position model. The record is from RNAcentral.
AACGAACGCUGGCGGCAUGCCUAACACAUGCAAGUCGAACGAAGCCUUCGGGCUUAGUGGCGCACGGGUGCGUAACGCGUGGGAAUCUGCCCUUAGGUACGGAAUAACUCAUGGAAACGUGUGCUAAUACCGUAUGAUGUCUUCGGACCAAAGAUUUAUCGCCUAGGGAUGAGCCCGCGUUGGAUUAGCUAGUUGGUGAGGUAAAGGCUCACCAAGGCGACGAUCCAUAGCUGGUCUGAGAGGAUGAUCAGCCACACUGGGACUGAGACACGGCCCAGACUCCUACGGGAGGCAGCAGUGGGGAAUAUUGGACAAUGGGCGAAAGCCUGAUCCAGCAAUGCCGCGUGAGUGAAGAAGGCCUUCGGUUGUAAAGCUCUUUACCCGG